Molecule: ribosomal RNA, 404 nt
Filed under: Actinomycetes bacterium
Lineage: Bacteria; Bacillati; Actinomycetota; Actinomycetes
Description: Actinobacteria bacterium partial 16S ribosomal RNA
Rfam family: Bacterial small subunit ribosomal RNA
Source: RNAcentral
UGGGGAAUAUUGGACAAUGGGCGCAAGCCUGAUCCAGCCAUGCCGCGUGAGUGAUGAAGGCCCUAGGGUUGUAAAGCUCUUUCACCGGUGAAGAUAAUGACGGUAACCGGAGAAGAAGCCCCGGCUAACUUCGUGCCAGCAGCCGCGGUAAUACGAAGGGGGCUAGCGUUGUUCGGAUUUACUGGGCGUAAAGCGCACGUAGGCGGACUUUUAAGUCAGGGGUGAAAUCCCGGGGCUCAACCCCGGAACUGCCUUUGAUACUGGAAGUCUUGAGUAUGGUAGAGGUGAGUGGAAUUCCGAGUGUAGAAGUGAAAUUCGUAGAUAUUCGGAGGAACACCAGUGGCGAAGGCGGCUCACUGGACCAUUACUGUCGCUGAGGUGCGAAAGCGUGGGGAGCAAACAGG